This 78-nucleotide transfer RNA is filed under the name Pyrobaculum ferrireducens. Its description in RNAcentral is "tRNA-Ile2 (CAT) (tRNA-Ile2-CAT-2-1)". It matches the Rfam family "tRNA". Rfam says of the family: Transfer RNA (tRNA) molecules are approximately 80 nucleotides in length. Lineage: Archaea; Thermoproteati; Thermoproteota; Thermoprotei; Thermoproteales; Thermoproteaceae. The record is from RNAcentral.
GCCGCCGUUGCACAGCCUGGUUAGUGCGCCCGGCUCAUAACCGGGAGGUCCCGGGUUCAAAUCCCGGCGGCGGCACCA